Molecule: ribosomal RNA, 2504 nt
Filed under: Triticum aestivum (bread wheat)
Lineage: Eukaryota; Viridiplantae; Streptophyta; Magnoliopsida; Poales; Poaceae
Description: partial small subunit ribosomal RNA
Source: RNAcentral
CUUUGUUCGGAACUAAAGAACUACCUUGGUCACCGGCGACGGCGACGUACGCGGCGGCCGCGACCAACAAGGUCUGGGGAGAGAACUGAGGAGAGACAGCGGUGGCGAGUGAUCUUGGAGGUGGCGGUGGAGGGGCAACAGAGUAGAGCGGGAUGGGGUAGAGGAGGAUACGACUGGUCGUUCAUGCGGCGGCCGUACCGGGCAGGGAGUUCAGGUGCUGCGAAGAAGAGACUAUUGAGAGAACGGAAGAAAAGACUACGUCGUCGGGGCGGCGGGUGGUGGAUGAGGAGGAGGGGCCGUAAAGGAGCGGCGGCUUCGGCGGGAAGGGGGUUCAGACGCUGCGGAGAGGACGUAGGAGGAGACUACGUCUUCGGGGUCGUGGAAGCGGAGGAGAGGCGACAGAGGUGGCUGCGGCUGGAAGCGCAUACGGCCGAUACGCGAUGUGUAGUAGCCGCCGCCGACCCGAGGAAGGUGCGGAUGCACGAUGUCCAAGAAGGUUAAUCUCAUGCUCGAUGAGGGGCUCCUGACGAAACAACACACGUUAACCUCGCGGUGGGUGCUCGAGGUGUGAGCGCAAGAGGAGGUUAACUGAGGUAGACCUUCUACCGACCAGACCACGCUACAACCGCACCUCCUCGAUACGAGACGAUAACGGUAGAUUAUACAAAGCAGUUCUUGGUUCCAUACCCACACCUGCUUGUCAUUUUAGAAGAUAUGUAGCGUAGUCAAGAACGAAGUAGAGAUAAUCUUUUAGGAACAAACAUGUUAAAGUAUAUACAAGACCACCAUUAUCUACUUUGACAGAUGAUAUCAUAGACAUUCGUUACUGGUGACCAAUAUCAAAGAAUAGGUUUUAGAAGAACACCUACUUUAAAACUCAUAGCCUCUACAACCACACAUGGAGGGACUUGACCAUAAAAGUGUGUCCGUUGAGAUACUAUGAGAAACAUCUCUAUGUAGAUUUUCAUUGUAUUUAUAAGAAUGAGAAAGCCUAUUCGUUCCCUUCCGGUCAGGUUGGGGUAACGUUAAAAAAGUUUCUUUACAAGAUGUUAAUCCAGAGUUACACAUCAGGUUCCAUAUUUAGUUCAUGUUAAACCACCGUCAUUUUUAUUAUUAAAUAAAUUAUACAAAUCAGUAGAUUUUAACGAAGCGUACAUUCCAGGCCUUCAAACCUGAAGGUCUUUUUUAUUGAAAUCUUUAAACGAAAUCACAAGUACUAUAAGAACAUUCUUUUUAGUAUGUACACAAAAUUAAUAAAAAACCAUCAAGAGUAACAAUGAAAGCAACAAGCUUUUUAUACCUACUGCGGAUGUCAUCCAGAGAUACAGUAACUACGGGGAGGAAAAGAACCAUCGAGGUGUAGGUUAAAAAGUCCAAUCUGUGGUUAAAAAAAGGAACUACAGUCAAUGACCGUAGAAAAGAAAACGUCUUUCAAUGUUAAAAACACACACAUACGUGUUCAUGUGAGCGGGGAAGAUAUAUGUGUACUAAAGUUUCGUACAGAAUGAUAUGUAAAAAAAAAGAAACGAACCAUGUUUUACAUAACGUUCGCUACAAGUAACAAAAAACGAAACAAAUUUAUAUGAAAUUCGAGUCAAAAAAAAGGAAACAGACUUACAUUGUAUCCGUUAAUACAUCCACCCGUCUACCUCUACAUGGCACGAAGUUUUUAAUAAGGGACCGCACUAGAUUCCAUACAUUGAUUAAUUCACCUUGAUCUACACACUCAAUACAGACUUUACAAGAAGAGAAGAACCACCACAACAUAUGUUUAAGUAAAAAGAACGCAUAUAAAUGCUUUAGUAAGCCAAUUUGUGAAGAUGAAGUAAGUACAAACAGAACCUUGAUAAUUAUAUUCACACAUGACAAACCUAUAUAAUUAACGACGUUAAUAGAAGUGUAAAUUCAGGCCACACGGAUUAUAUGACCGUACUUUACCCGUUACAACCGAAGGACCUACUUGCCAUUGACUUAUCGAACAAACGAAACAUGUUGGAAAGGUUCCUUUCUUCGUUAAGAGACAACGUCAUCAAACAACGUCACCAAGAUUCCGACCUGUACUAUUAUACAUAAAAUCUAGUGUCCGACACGAUCUUUAAAACCUCCAGACCACACCCCCGUCAACAGCGUAGAAAAUGUUAAAGUGUUAAGCCUCAAUAGUCAACACUGCGAGCGUGCUGAACGUCAACUGCUUCGGUUACAACCUUCCUACAACUGCGUACCUUGUAGUAAACUGUAUGAGGGAGGCAAGGCUUAAUAAACAGAACCUAAACAGAUCUAUGCCUACAUAGAUCUGAAUAAAAUCACGAUCUAUGGAGGCAUAGAUCUGUUUAGAUUCUGUUCAUUAAGCCUUGCCUCCCUCAUCAUCAGAUCGAAUCACUCGGGGCCAGUAAAAAAACAUGAACAUAUAUUAGAGAAAACGUACGUUCAAUUCACAAAAUGAAAAAACAAAAGGAAAAAGUACACUGAAGAGGAUCGGUUAAUUACUAACACCAUACAAAUAC